Molecule: long non-coding RNA, 869 nt
Organism: Sinocyclocheilus anshuiensis
Lineage: Eukaryota; Metazoa; Chordata; Actinopteri; Cypriniformes; Cyprinidae
Exons: 2
Source: RefSeq, a predicted model, not a curated record
UCCACUAAAUUCAUCAAUGGCAGGAAAAUCACUACAAAAAGAAUCAUCGAGAAUGGCCAGGAACGUGUAGAAGUGGAAGAAGAUGGACAGUUAAAGUCUAUAACCGUAAAUGGUAAGGAACAACUGCUGCGAUUGGAACACAAUUAAGAUAAUGGAGCCCUUUCAGCACAAACCUGAGCUCAAACAAUGUUAGUACUGUCGUUCAGAUGUCUGUACAUUGUGUUUUUGUUUUGUUUUUUCUUUCCUUUUUUCAUUUUUAGACUGUUGUUUCUGAACAAUUUUUUGUUUAUAUAUUUAUAAAUGGGUACUUGUCAGUAUUUUGCACAGGAUACGUGUAAUUUUACUUGUAUUUGGGACCAUAAUGUGAGAUUAUUUUUUCUUUCCGCGAGCACUUUGUGUUGCAGUGUCCUCAUGAAUGCACAUUGCAUUUUGAAUACUGCUUUGAGCUGAAAGGAGAAAGAGGAUUGUGCAUUGUGCAUGAUUUUACCAACAGUGUGGAGUGUGGAAUUGGAGUGCGUAGCUUAAUGUUCAAACCUUAUGGCAACUUGUCUAAUUAAUUUGUUAAACAUAUUUGUAAAUGCUGGUAGAGUGCUAGAUUCAAUGUACUGAUAUGCAAUUUUUAUGAAUUUUAAUUAAUGAAAAUGUUUUUGUUUUUUUCCCCCUCAUUGUUGCAUGUAAGACAACAAAUGAUGUUUCUAGUUGUAAUGUUAUUACUAAAUAACCUGAUGAGAAUCGGAGUUAAUAAUAUAACUGAUUUAUGACCAUUCACGGAACUUUGUGUACUUUGUAAAAUAAUUUGAACCUAAAUAAAUGAGUUUCAUCCUUUUUGGGGAUGUGGCAGCUCUGCAGUCUAUGUAGUUUUGCUUUAA